AAGUUCUGUUUUAUUUCAAAAUUAUGUAGUCUAUGUAAUAUUAAUUUGUUAUAGUCUUUAAUGUGCUAAAAGUGUGCUGUCGCAAAACAAAUUCAGUUAUUUCUUAAUCAUUGGUACCUACGAUGUACCUCGUUUACAGAAACCUCUACGAGCGCCUGUAUUUAACGUGGAAAGCUAACUUGAUUUACUAACGAAAUGGAAACUAAUUACGAUGACAGUGUACCGAGUGUCUAACUCAAGUAUCUCGAUUACCAAAUUUACGAAAUGGCAAUUCCGUAACUUGGUCGAACGUUAUCGAUAUUUCUUGUUUGUCGAAUUUUACUCGUUCUUACUACUUUCGCUGCAGUUACGUGUGCAUUUACAGCGAGAGAGAUACUCGAUAUUUCCCUUGGCAACGAUCCAACGCAAUUUCCUUAGUAGCGUAUUCUUAGUAUUCGCUCUUCUUGUGCAACGUAAUCUUCGCACGAUGCAUUUUCGCAUGUGUCGAUCGAGCAUUUAGUUUGUUCAGCAAGUUAUUACUGAUUUGUUUGAAUCUAAUGCUGCUGGAUGUCGAUUCCCUAACUUUUAACGACAAUAUCGUUAUCGUUACGUGUUGUUGCGUAGUUAUUUUUUGAUACGUUUUAUCUGCGUAACCACAUAUAACGAUAGCGACAUUGUCGAAAUUACGAAAUUAGGAAAUAGACAUACUGUAGAUACGACUGUAGAUACGGAUAGAUACGACUAUAUUACUACAUUUAACACUAAAUCUAUCACGCCGGUCAAAUGACCGUUUUAAAAUUUUUGAUUAAAAAUGCUGCAUUCGGCAGAAAUUCAUAAACAGAAAUUUCAAUGGUCAUUUUCUUCAGAACCUGACAGCAAUCAUUCUUUUUUGUCGCCUACACAUAUUGAUAAUAUUCGAUAGGAAUAAGUAUAUAUAAAUUGUGGGUAGGUUUAGUGUUAAAAAAGCAAUUAUUCCAUAAAUGCGAUAUUAUAACAAAGAUAUACAUCAGUAAAACUAGAGGUGAUCGCAAAUUACAUGAUGAACUGAACGACAAUAAGAUAUUUAAUUAACGCAAUUAUACAGGCACAGUAGUUAAAGGUGCGCCCGGAUACGCCCUGAUGCGCCUCUUAAUUUAAUUGUGGUAUCACAAUUUAAUGACACGCGACACACUUUUAAAGAAAUGAUCCAUUGCGUUGCACAAGAAACAUUAAAUUAGCGUAGCAUAAAAUGUUUUAGAAAUAUAUAUGGAAACAUAUACAUGGAAUCUCGUGGUCCCAGGUUUGCAGCAUGAUGCUUGCAGCAAAAUUUAUACGUUACAGCUAAGAGAAAAAAUAAAUUAUGCUUUUAGUUCUUCAUCUUAUUCUUCCUUACUUUUUCUUACUUCCUCCUUAUCUUGUUUUUUUUUCUAUGAUAAUUCUUUUUUAUAUGUAUGUAAUGAGCACCCGCAGACCAUGAUAAAGUGUGUGACGUUUCUAACGUAACUCUUACUGCGACCUAAAUGUACUAUAUCGCACUCAAUGUAACUAUAGAUAUUCACGACACGCGUCUUAGAAUGAAUAAUUGUAUUCGUACGACGUGUUGGUUUCUACCGCUCCGAAUGCCAUCAGACGAACGAAGUAUCGUGUCCCGUUUCUCUCUCUCGUCUCUCCCUCUCUCUCUCUCUCUGUUUGGUGAACGCAUCACUAUGGUUACGUUCCAUGCUGUUGUCCUAGAAUUUCCACGUUGAGCAUUACUCUCGCGUCAGCGUACCGAACCGCAAAUUAUUUUAUCGGUUACGUAAAGCCAGAAGCCCGUCGAGCAAGAAUUCAGGGAAACACCAUUCAUCGCCGCCGCGAUUAUUCUUAACGGUCUUCUCCUUAACGAGGAUAGUGGUCUCCGCAACGCAUCGAUCUUGCGAUUGUUUCGUGUUGUCUUAUGCACAGAUUGAGUCAACCAAUUAGGGCAACCUGUGACCAAGGUUGGACACAGAUGUGCUAAGUAUACCGAUAUACAGAUAUAUAGAUGUGCUGCGAUACCGAUCUGUAAAGUCUCAUAUUGUGGUGUGUGUAUUGCACACAACUUGCAGAACUAAAGAUCUCACUUCUCCAAGCCAUUUCGAAUUUUAUUUUUCAAAAAUAUAUUUGAAAUUUGUGAGGAAGUUUAUAAAUCAGUCAGUAUUAAUUUUAAUCAUUUAAUCGUUCGCGCAUGUGCAAGAGAAUUUUAACAGACAUUUCUUCAAAGUCGAUAAUCUUUAACCGUAAUUCAAUCGUCUCUUCGUCUCUUCCGUGAUUCCAUCUCUUUAUAUAGGAGAAGACAGAGAGACAAUUGCCCCGCGAUUAAAGUUAAUCGACGUCGGAGCAAUCAGCCCUAGAGCGAUCGAAGGGAUCUUGAAAGGAUCCAGCGGAUCCAACGGAUCUCUAUUCGAUUCUCUUGCUUAUCGAUGAGAAGGAUCACGUUCUCACCGGUCACGACACACAACUUGGAUUAUAGAAAAGCUAGUAAAUUCUCUCACAUUUAUUUUAUCUAUAAAAAAUAACACAAAAUUUAUGUACGUUUUAUUUCAAUGUUCUUAAUACUAAUUUUUUAAUACUAAUUUGCUAACAAAUAAAACGUCAGAAUAGAAUAUAUUAAUAAUCUCAAGUGAUAUUUUAAUGUUUAUAUAGUUUCUAAUGUGUGUUUGUAUCUAAUUUACAUGUGUGGGUGUAAAUGCAUAUAACAUGAAAUAUGAAUAAAAUGUAGAUGAUAGUAUACUACGGAUCUCUACGCGAAUGGUGUAGAAGAUUAAUCUUUGUAUAGCGGCAAAGAGAUUUGGAUCAUCGUCACGUUUAUACUCAAAAUUCUGAAACGAACAGGAAGCAGCAGCUGAAUUUUUUAUGAAUAUCUCUUACGAGCUUUUUGUAUAGUGUUAUCCUAUGAGUUUUAAGUUUCCUAUCUAUAUCUACGUAUUUUCAUAUGCACAGGUCAUCUUUCCAUUUCCAGUUUACUCUAAGAAAUAUGUAUAAUGUUCAAAGCGGCAAUGCUGAUGAUGAUUCUGAAUAAUGCGAGAAAUAAUUUGUGCAAUAACAUACAGUCAUUUACAAUAACGUACAUAAUAUAUAAUGUACUAAUUAUUUACACUGUGUUACAGGAACAGAUAAGGUCAAGAAUUUCGUAUGAAACGUCACAUUAAUUAUGUAGACUUCCAUGUAACCGGAGGAGGAAGAGGUUUCACGAGGUUGACACUUAAAUUUAUUUAUCGAGCAAUACGUGAUGAAAACAAAUUAUUCAGCAUAACACUUAAAAUUUUUAAUAAGCAGUCAAAAGAUAAUUUUUAUGACCUCUAUUUUACGGUUUCUUCGAUAAUUUCGUGACAUAUAAUGGGAAUAAAUUACCGAUAUUGAUUUCAUAUGCGUAAUUUAAUCAUUUUGGACGAAGUAUAUUAUAAGACACUUCCGAUUAUUCGAUCGUUUAGAAAAAUGCACCAAGCAAUCAUCUUUUUAAUUUUCUUAUUAAUUUUCUCUUAAUUAUCAUGCAUAUACAAAAAAAUAAUUAUAUUUUUUAUACCAAAUCUUGAUAAAGUGCAAGGAAAAAUUAAAUUAAAUUAAAU
This 3545-nucleotide long non-coding RNA is filed under the name Ooceraea biroi (clonal raider ant). RNAcentral describes it as "uncharacterized LOC109611556". Lineage: Eukaryota; Metazoa; Arthropoda; Insecta; Hymenoptera; Formicidae. The record is from RNAcentral.